This 1260-nucleotide ribosomal RNA is filed under the name Listeria monocytogenes. RNAcentral's name for it is "partial 23S ribosomal RNA". It matches the Rfam family "Bacterial large subunit ribosomal RNA", at positions 1 to 1253 of the family's 2925-position model. Lineage: Bacteria; Bacillati; Bacillota; Bacilli; Caryophanales; Listeriaceae. The record is from RNAcentral.
UUGGUUAAGUUAGAAAGGGCGCACGGUGGAUGCCUUGGCACUAGGAGCCGAAGAAGGACGGGACUAACACCGAUAUGCUUUGGGGAGCUGUACGUAAGCGUUGAUCCAGAGAUUUCCGAAUGGGGGAACCCACUAUCUUUAGUCGGAUAGUAUCCUUACGUGAAUACAUAGCGUGAGGAAGGCAGACCCAGGGAACUGAAACAUCUAAGUACCUGGAGGAAGAGAAAGAAAAAUCGAUUUCCUGAGUAGCGGCGAGCGAAACGGAAAGAGCCCAAACCAAGAAGCUUGCUUCUUGGGGUUGUAGGACACUCUAUACGGAGUUACAAAAGAAAGUUAUAAAUGAAGCGGUCUGGAAAGGCCCGCCAAAGACGGUAACAGCCCGGUAGUUGAAAUGGCUUUCCCUCCAGAGUGGAUCCUGAGUACGGCGGAACACGUGAAAUUCCGUCGGAAUCCGGGAGGACCAUCUCCCAAGGCUAAAUACUCCCUAGUGACCGAUAGUGAACCAGUACCGUGAGGGAAAGGUGAAAAGCACCCCGGAAGGGGAGUGAAACAGUUCCUGAAACCGUGUGCCUACAAGUAGUUAGAGCCCGUUAAUGGGUGAUAGCGUGCCUUUUGUAGAAUGAACCGGCGAGUUACGAUUUGUUGCAAGGUUAAGCGGAAAAAGCGGAGCCGUAGCGAAAGCGAGUCUGAAUAGGGCGCAUAAGUAACAGGUCGUAGACCCGAAACCAGGUGAUCUACCCAUGUCCAGGAUGAAGGUAAGGUAAUACUUACUGGAGGUCCGAACCCACGCACGUUGAAAAGUGCGGGGAUGAGGUGUGGGUAGCGGAGAAAUUCCAAUCGAACUUGGAGAUAGCUGGUUCUCUCCGAAAUAGCUUUAGGGCUAGCCUCGAGGUAAAGAGUCAUGGAGGUAGAGCACUGUUUGGACUAGGGGCCCUUCUCGGGUUACCGAAUUCAGAUAAACUCCGAAUGCCAUGUACUUAUACUCGGGAGUCAGACUGCGAGUGAUAAGAUCCGUAGUCGAAAGGGAAACAGCCCAGACCACCAGUUAAGGUCCCCAAAUAUAUGUUAAGUGGAAAAGGAUGUGGGGUUGCUUAGACAACCAGGAUGUUGGCUUAGAAGCAGCCACCAUUGAAAGAGUGCGUAAUAGCUCACUGGUCGAGUGACCCCGCGCCGAAAAUGUACCGGGGCUAAACAUAUUACCGAAACUGUGGAUGAACCUCUUUAGAGGUUCGUGGUAGGAGAGCGUUCUAAGGGCGGUGA